UCUACAUAUUAAAUAUAAAUAAAUAUUAGACAUUAUUCUUUAAUAGCUCAAGCUUUCAUAAUAUAACGAUUAUCUCAUAUUACAGCAGUAGGUUUUGAGCUCGAAUUCCGUCGAGCCGCUAGCCUCAUUUAAAUUUCUCUUUUAGUUUAAGUAUACAUCUUGAGCCUAUUAAAACAUCUCGAUUUUAAAUGUGAGAAAAAAUAUUGAAUAUAGAUAUUUCCACACUGUUUUUUGACAACUUAAACUAACAAUAAUUGUUGAUAGGACACGUAGAUAAUAUUUGAAUUGGGUAUAAGAGGGGGGAUAAGGCCUUUCCCCCCUCUUAUACCAAAACAAUAUUUUGGAUGGAUGGGAACAAGCUUGCUCCAACCUCUUGUAGGUUGAAAGAGAGAGAGAGAGAGAGAGAGAGAGAGAUGUUGAGAAAUUAGAUUGCAAAUUUUAAUGAUGUGUAUUUGACAAAUUACUUAGUGAAAUUUAUGUGAAUAAUAAUAAUAAAAUAAAAUUGAAAGGAUUCCUUGUGGGACAUGUCUGUUCAAACAGACAUGACCUUUCAAUUAUGUCUGUUCAAAACAGACAUAACUUACCUUUUGAAAACAUAUAAAUAGAAGCUCUUGUGCCAAAAUUCAUACAUAUCAAAAAAGGUUUCCAGAUUUCAGAGUUAAGAGCGUGAGAGAUUCCGAGUUUUGCUUUUUGAGUAUCUCUCGCCUCGUUCUAUCCCGAGAGUUCUUUGUCAUAACCUGAAGCAAACUUUGUGUGGGGGCAAAUCUACUC
This 771-nucleotide long non-coding RNA is filed under the name Ananas comosus (pineapple). Its description in RNAcentral is "long non-coding RNA (ACOM_LNC030710)". The record is from RNAcentral. Lineage: Eukaryota; Viridiplantae; Streptophyta; Magnoliopsida; Poales; Bromeliaceae.